Molecule: ribosomal RNA, 778 nt
Filed under: uncultured Neocallimastigales
Lineage: Eukaryota; Fungi; Neocallimastigomycota; Neocallimastigomycetes; Neocallimastigales
Description: partial large subunit ribosomal RNA
Rfam family: Eukaryotic large subunit ribosomal RNA
Source: RNAcentral
UACGACUACAUAUCAGGCAUAUCAAUAAGCGGAGGAAAAGAAACUAACUAGGAUUCCCUUAGUAACGGCGAGUGAAGCGGGAAGAGCUCAAAUUUGAAAUCUUCAAGGUUUUACCUUGACGAAUUGUAGUUUAAAGAAGUGUUUUCUGUUGAAGUUUUCGGUAAAAGUUCUUUGGAAUAGGACAUCAUAGAGGGUGAGAAUCCCGUAUUUGACCAGUUAUUUCCAGCUGUGUGAUACACUUUCAAAGAGUCGGAUUGUUUGGGAAUGCAGUCCAAAAUGGGUGGUAAAUUUCAUCUAAAGCUAAAUAUUGGCGAGAGACCGAUAGCGAACAAGUACCGAUGAGGGAAAGAUGAAAAGAACUUUGAAAAGAGAGUUAAACAGUACGUGAAAUUGUCAAAAGGGAAGCGUUUGACACCAGUGCUUGUUUUCUCGAAAAUCAAUUAAAAAUGACCGGAUUUUGUGUUGUAUUGACUUUAUCAGCUUUCUGCACUUUUUUCUUGUCUUUUUUAAUGCACUUUUCGUUUAACAAGUCAACAUCAAUUUCUUUUGUUGUAAAAGGGUCAUUGGAAGGUGGCUUUCACUUCGGUGAAAGUGUCUAUAGCCUUUGACUUCUGCAAUCGGAGAGAUUGAGGUCUGCAGCGUAGAUCCUUCGGGGUUAGAUACAUUUGUGCUAAGUUAUAGUUUUUCAUAGACAACAUGUUGACUAUGAUUAAUCAUGUAGCUUACUCGCUUAUGCUAUUUUACCUACGCUUAGGAUGUUGACGCGCGUGUGUGCGUG